UCCAGCUUAAUUCUCUUUCUCUGUAUUUCCCAUUCUCCGGGGCAAUUCCAUUUCUCUGGUAAUAAUUCUGCUCCAUCUUUAUCCACCGGAAUACAAUACAGACUAUGCCUCCUAAUUUGGUGAAUGGAUGGUGGUCAGAUUCUUCCCAUAAUCAACUAGCCCUAAGAGAAUUAUUGAGGGCUACAAUGAGAUAAUGAGAUGACAGUCGGAGGCUUCUUCUUUGAGUCAAGGACCAUCUUCGGUCACAUACAUUUUCUGGAACCAUCCCGGUUUCUACAGGGCUGCACCUCCGAUUGAAAGUCGGCCAUGGGGACAAGUAAAACGAGCGGCUGCUUCUUCUCCAGGUGUUUACUUUUUUUAUUUUUGUUGAUUUAGGGUUUUGUCGCUGUUUUUUUUUCUUUGGUCUGUUGUGUCAAUCGCAGACAUGAACUCCACACUCAACAAGUCUCGAUUACAGGCGCUUUCUCUCUGCAAUCGAUUUGUUUUUUCUUCUCUUCCAUUACGGCUUGUUCUUCGGCUGGAGAAGGCUUAUGCUUCCGAUUAUUGCAAAAAGAUUUCAGGUGUAUCAAUGCAAUCACAGUGUGAUAGAGAGAUUAGAGACUUUAUCAAGGGCAAUUAUAUGAAAGUUAUAAAUAUCACCCAUUAAUGAAGCUAUACCCAAGUCGACUGCUGAUUAGUUUGUGGGAAAUGACAAAACUGCCCCUAUCCUUUCAGCACUACAGGAAAUAAUGACUUUGCUGUUGCAAUUGUUCCAACUGCUGGAAGACGAAUGGAUUCGGUUCUAAUGUGGAUGUUGUGUGCGGGAACUUGAACUUGAAGAAGCAAAUAAAGCAUCCUCCUUUUUAUCAAACUGUUCAGUGACUAACAAUCUUAAUCAACAUCAUGUUUUAGAAUGGAAUACCCUGCAAUCCCGCAACGCUGGAUUCUUCCCUAGUUUCAUUUAACAACGAAAAAAAAAUAUGUGUUUUCAUGUUUAUUGGCAAAAAGCAAAUUACAAGAAUGGCCCUUGUAGUUUGAAGUAAUUUGCGUUUAAUCUUUAACGUGUUUUUUUCAACUUAUAAACUUUUUUUUGAUGUGGUAAUGAUCAUGCUAAUCCAAUGC
Lactuca sativa (garden lettuce) is the source of this 1101-nucleotide non-coding RNA. The record is from RefSeq and is a predicted model, not a curated record. Lineage: Eukaryota; Viridiplantae; Streptophyta; Magnoliopsida; Asterales; Asteraceae.